GACGAACGCUGGCGGCGUGCUUAACACAUGCAAGUCGAACGGAAAGGCCCUGCUUUUGUGGGUUGCUCGAGUGGCGAACGGGUGAGUAACACGUGAGUAACCUGCCCUUGACUUUGGGAUAACUUCAGGAAACUGGGGCUAAUACCGGAUAGGAGCUCCUGCUGCAUGGUGGGGGUUGGAAAGUGUCGGCGGUUGGGGAUGGACUCGCGGCUUAUCAGCUUGUUGGUGGGGUAGUGGCUUACCAAGGCUUUGACGGGUAGCCGGCCUGAGAGGGUGACCGGCCACAUUGGGACUGAGAUACGGACCAGAAUCCUACGGGAGGCAGCAGUGGGGAAUAUUGCACAAUGGGCGGAAGCCUGAUGCAGCAACGCCGCGUGCGGGAUGACGGCCUUCGGGUUGUAAACCGCUUUCGCCUGUGACGAAGCGUGAGUGACGGUAAUGGGUAAAGAAGCACCGGCUAACUACGUG
RNAcentral lists this ribosomal RNA (468 nucleotides) under uncultured bacterium. Its description in RNAcentral is "partial 16S ribosomal RNA". It matches the Rfam family "Bacterial small subunit ribosomal RNA", at positions 28 to 507 of the family's 1533-position model. The record is from RNAcentral.